Molecule: long non-coding RNA, 400 nt
Organism: Oncorhynchus tshawytscha (Chinook salmon)
Lineage: Eukaryota; Metazoa; Chordata; Actinopteri; Salmoniformes; Salmonidae
Exons: 3
Source: RefSeq, a predicted model, not a curated record
UUGUCCAAACCAUUAACCAAACAAGGGAGAUUGGCAGCGCAAAGCCCUCGUUUUUGAUCGAGAGGGCGAGUGUACUAUUCUGUUCACUCCGGGGGCUGAAACGGCCAGUAAUUCAAUUUGCAAUGAUUGUACAUCCGCUAAGAAAAGUCAGCCAAAACUUAAUACCGACAUUAAGAAAUCAACAUACAAGUGACAAUUUUUCAGAGGAUGGUGCUGGAGGGAAGGCUCACAAGUGGGAGAAUUUAAAGAAUAAGUACAAGGUCCCUCCAACUCAGCAGCAACAGAGGUAUUGAAUUGGUCCACCCACACAGACAGCAUCGUGAAGUAGGCACAGCAGCGCCUCUUCAACCUCAGGAGGCUGAAGAAAUUCGGCUUGUCACCAAAAGCACUCACAAACUUC